This 414-nucleotide long non-coding RNA is filed under the name Ananas comosus (pineapple). RNAcentral describes it as "long non-coding RNA (ACOM_LNC044801)". The record is from RNAcentral. Lineage: Eukaryota; Viridiplantae; Streptophyta; Magnoliopsida; Poales; Bromeliaceae.
AAAGGCGGUUCGUGGAUUCGGAUCGUUGGCUCGUGGAUUCGAGUGGCGUCGUGGAUUCGGCGUGAUUGAAGCUUCGUGGAUUCGAAGUGGAGGCGUUCGUGGAUUCGAAUGUGAGGGCGUGGACAACCCGGAGGGUAGCGCGAAGAUUCAUAGGAGGUUAAGAGAGGUUGAGUCUGUGGAGUCGAUAAUCACCUUGUAAUCUUUUCUCUUAGUGAAUUAUUUUUUCGCGUGUUGGUCCCGUGGGUUUUUCUCCAAGUUGGAGUUUUCCCACGUAAAUCUCGGUGUGCUUUUUAUUUUUCGCAUUUAUUUUUAUUGCAUCGAGAUUUGUGGUUUUUGGCCGUUCACCUAUUCACCCCCGUCUAGGUGAUAGGUACAAUCUAGAUAGAUCCUUGGGCUCCUCAAAACUUUCAGACG